This 683-nucleotide long non-coding RNA is filed under the name Dromaius novaehollandiae (emu). RNAcentral describes it as "lncRNA (ENSDNVG00000008377.1)". The record is from RNAcentral. Lineage: Eukaryota; Metazoa; Chordata; Aves; Casuariiformes; Dromaiidae.
UCCAGCAUUCCCCAGCCAUCUAAUAGCAGCAAAUUGACUGUGGGUCUCUUGUAAGAAUAUCUAAAUGUAGGCUGUUGAAUAAUCCCUUUGGGGGCCCUGUAACUAUUUUUGUGCCUGGAUAUGCGUCAUCAGUGGGUAUUUUCUCUGGUGACUAGCUUACAUCAGUAGGUCUCCUACCAUACAUUCUACCAGCGAGUGACUUAUGAUUGAUGGGAGUCACGGCUGCUGUUUAGCUUUUAUCUAUGACCUCAAAUAAUGGACAACAGGAAUUUCCAGGCUGUUAAAUUCUUUGAAUGACUGAAGAUACGGGAUUGCUGUGCUGAUAAACGCAGUCCCUUUGAUACAGCUGUGAUAGAAAAUACAAGAUCAGCUCUUUCUGAACUCUAGCUCAGAAGUCUCUCAAGUACUUCUCCUGGCAACCAGGGAAUAAAAAUGAAAGACAUGGAUGUCAGGGACUGUCUACUUAAGAAGCUCAGAGUGAGUUAGAAACAUUGAUGAAGCCUCUAUUCUGUGAGGUGGAGGAGUGUGUGAACAGCCAUAUUCGCUGGAGUAGUGAACCAACUUGCCUUGACUGGAACCAUUAUUCACUUGCACCUUUGACAUCAGCAGCCAGGUAGGGGAAGAGAAGAAAAAUGUGUUUUGAAUGAACUGAGGUAGCAGGCCUGGAUGAAUAUUUUUUUCAU